Molecule: long non-coding RNA, 588 nt
Organism: Medicago truncatula (barrel medic)
Lineage: Eukaryota; Viridiplantae; Streptophyta; Magnoliopsida; Fabales; Fabaceae
Exons: 2
Source: RefSeq, a predicted model, not a curated record
UGUAAAACAAUUGAGAUUCAUUUAUUUAUUGCCUAUUUAUUAUUUUUUAUCCAGUGUCCCGGGGGCACCGGUUAGCAACACCAUAUUAUAAUUCAUUGAUGUACUUAACAGGCAUUUAAUUAUCUAUUUAUUUUUUGGAAGGAGUUUUAAGUUAAAGAAACUAAUGGGUAAAAAAAAAACCUUAUUUAAUAUAAGUAAAUAGAAAGGUUGUUUUGCAUAUUAUAAAUUGAUCAAACAAUUUUCUAGUCAUUUGACAUAUGCUAAAGAGGAAAAAAUAUGGCUGAAUUUAUCAAAUUUGUUAGUGUUAUCAUUAUCUCAAUUUCCCUAUGUUUUGUCAUAGUCAAUGGUGGAUUUGAACGUUGCUGCACCUAUAAUAGUGAGUGUGGGCCUUACUGUUCUGAUCCAAUAUAUGGGAUGUGCUGGGUCAAUAAUGUAGAUGCGUAUUCAUAAGUUUUUGAGGGAAGUUAAGAGCUAACUUGGAUGUGAUAGCUUUUCUUGGCGAUUACUAUGGGAUGGGAUAGGGUUUUUACCCACCAAAAUUUGUUUAUGAAAAAUAUUUUUAUUUUAUACAUAUAUAUUUCCGUGGUA